Molecule: non-coding RNA, 74 nt
Organism: Gossypium arboreum
Lineage: Eukaryota; Viridiplantae; Streptophyta; Magnoliopsida; Malvales; Malvaceae
Source: Rfam
GCGAAUGUAGCCAAGUGGAUCAAGGUAGUGGAUUGUGAAUCCACCAUGCGCGGGUUCAAUUCCCGUCGUUUGCC